GUCCAGACUCCUACGGGAGGCAGCAGUGAGGAAUAUUGGUCAAUGGGCUUACGCCUGAACCAGCCAAGUCGCGUGAGGGAGUACUGCCCUAUGGGUUGUAAACCUCUUUUGUCGGGGAGCAAAAGCCGGACGUGUCCGGCUGUGAGAGUACCCGAAGAAAAAGCAUCGGCUAACUCCGUGCCAGCAGCCGCGGUAAUACGGAGGAUGCGAGCGUUAUCCGGAUUUAUUGGGUUUAAAGGGUGCGCAGGCGGAAGAUCAAGUCAGCGGUAAAAUUGAGAGGCUCAACCUCUUCGAGCCGUUGAAACUGGUUUUCUUGAGUGAGUGAGAAGUAUGCGGAAUGCGUGGUGUAGCGGUGAAAUGCAUAGAUAUCACGCAGAACUCCGAUUGCGAAGGCAGCAUACCGGCGCUCAACUGACGCUCAUGCACGAAAGUGUGGGUAUCGAACAGGAUUAGAUACCCUCGUAACA
RNAcentral lists this ribosomal RNA (467 nucleotides) under uncultured bacterium. RNAcentral's name for it is "bacterial SSU rRNA". It matches the Rfam family "Bacterial small subunit ribosomal RNA", at positions 329 to 795 of the family's 1533-position model. The record is from RNAcentral.